UCCUCCUAUUUUCAGUUGGUUUGCCGCGAGGACCAGGGUAAUGAUUAAUAGGGAUAGUUGGGGGCAUUAAUAUUUAAUUGUCAGAGGUGAAAUUCUUGGAUUUAUGAAAGAUUAACUUCUGCGAAAGCAUCUGCCAAGGAUGUUUUCAUUAAUCAAGAACGAAAGUUAGGGGAUCGAAGACGAUCAGAUACCGUCGUAGUCUUAACCAUAAACGAUGCCGACCAGCGAUUAGGAGACGUUGAAUACAAAACACCACCAUGCGCAUUGCGGUCGUCUUUGGUGUCGCUCACAAGGCGGCACCGGGGCGGCUUAGCUCGCAUGGCACCGGUG
This 330-nucleotide ribosomal RNA is filed under the name Acanthamoeba genotype T3. RNAcentral's name for it is "SSU rRNA". The stretch from base 1 to 285 matches the Rfam family "Eukaryotic small subunit ribosomal RNA", at positions 825 to 1116 of the family's 1831-position model. The record is from RNAcentral. Lineage: Eukaryota; Discosea; Longamoebia; Acanthamoebidae.